RNAcentral lists this ribosomal RNA (433 nucleotides) under uncultured bacterium. RNAcentral's name for it is "partial 16S ribosomal RNA". It matches the Rfam family "Bacterial small subunit ribosomal RNA", at positions 29 to 507 of the family's 1533-position model. The record is from RNAcentral.
AACGAACGCUGGCGGCAUGCCUAACACAUGCAAGUCGAACGAAACCUUCGGGUCUAGUGGCGCACGGCGGCGGAAGGCGUGGGAACCUGCCCUUGGGUUCGGAAUACCUCCCCGAAGGGGGUCCUAAUACCGGAUAAUGUCUUCGGACCAAAGAUUUAUCGCCUUUGGGUGGGCCCGCGUUGGAUUCGCUGGUUGGUAGGGUAAUAGCCUACCAUGGCGCGGAUCCAUAGCUGGUCUGAGAGGAUGCUCAGCCACGCUUGGACUGCGACCCGGCCCAGACUGCUACGCGAGGGAGCAGUGUGUUACAUUGUACACUGGGCGAAAGCCUGAUCCAGCAAUGCCGCGGAAGUGAUGAAUGCCUUAGUGUUCUAAAGCCCUUUUACCCGGGAUGAUAGUGACAGUACCGGGAGAAUAAGCUCCGGCUAACUCCGUG